UAAACCCCCUCACAUAUAAUGUGGUAUUGGCUAAAGUGAUGGGCAUUAUGUCCAGGGAUCACUAUGCUGAAAUGUAUUGCGUGGAGAACUAAUUCCAACAACUGACUUUGUAAGCAUCAUUGAGAGCACAAACCAGUCAGGUGUUGGUUCAGUUACGUAUACCUGGACCCCCAACCAGUGUAAAGCUUUG
This 190-nucleotide unclassified non-coding RNA is filed under the name uncultured Tuberaceae. RNAcentral's name for it is "sequence contains ITS2". The record is from RNAcentral. Lineage: Eukaryota; Fungi; Ascomycota; Pezizomycetes; Pezizales; Tuberaceae.